CCCUUGGAGAGGGGACAAUGCACCAUCUGAGAGGCUGCAAGAUGCUGGCUUAUCCUUGGAAGAAGCUGAUUUUUCCUGUGUAGCAGCUGGACAAACAGGGUUUUGUCCAAGCAGGCCUCUGAGUUCGGCUUCUGCCCUGCUCACCAAACAGAACAGGGGUUUGUGCUGAAAAAUGUGAUGUGGAAGUAAAACAUCACUACAGUAUUCCAGCCAGUUCCUUAGUAUUGUGACUUCAGGUGGUGUCCCAUUGGAAAUGGAAUCGUGCUGCCCUUUGACUCCAUGGGUCAGGUUGCUGAGAUGGAUAUUUUCCAGUAAGGCCAUCUACUUCAGCUGAAAACUUACUGCUUUUUUAGGAGUUGCAUUUUUUGGCAGGACAAUGGCAUUUCCCACAGAAAGCAAACUACAGUACCACGCACAGUCCCACGUCUCAUGAGAAGAACCAGGAGAGAUUGCUACAGACGCUGGGAGUUGCUUUACUGACAUCACUGGGAGUUUUGCCACUGAUUUCAGCAGAGUUAUGAUUUCAAACGGGACUCGGCUGCCAUUGGACUCGUGAUUUAAUUAGAUGACUCUUUAC
This 577-nucleotide long non-coding RNA is filed under the name Gallus gallus (chicken). Its description in RNAcentral is "long non-coding RNA NONGGAT005856". The record is from RNAcentral. Lineage: Eukaryota; Metazoa; Chordata; Aves; Galliformes; Phasianidae.